CGACGGUAAGGCCCUUCGGGGUACCGAGUGGCGAACGGGUGAGUAACACGUGGGUGAUCUGCCCUGCACUUCGGGAUAAGCCCGGGAAACUGGGUCUAAUACCGGAUAGGACUGCGCGGUGCAUGCCGUGUGGUGGAAAGAUUUAUCGGUGCAGGAUGGGCCCGCGGCCUAUCAGCUUGUUGGUGGGGUAAUGGCCUACCAAGGCGACGACGGGUAGCCGGCCUGAGAGGGCGACCGGCCACACUGGGACUGAGACACGGCCCAGACUCCUACGGGAGGCAGCAGUGGGGAAUAUUGCACAAUGGGCGCAAGCCUGAUGCAGCGACGCCGCGUGAGGGAUGACGGCCUUCGGGUUGUAAACCUCUUUCAGCAGGGACGAAGCGCAAGUGACGGUACCUGCAGAAGAAGCACCGGCCAACUACGUGCCAGCAGCCGCGGUAAUACGUAGGGUGCAAGCGUUGUCCGGAAUUACUGGGCGUAAAGAGCUCGUAGGCGGUUUGUCGCGUCGUCUGUGAAAACCAGCAGCUCAACUGUUGGCUUGCAGGCGAUACGGGCAGACUUGAGUAUUUCAGGGGAGACUGGAAUUCCUGGUGUAGCGGUGAAAUGCGCAGAUAUCAGGAGGAACACCGGUGGCGAAGGCGGGUCUCUGGGAAAUAACUGACGCUGAGGAGCGAAAGCGUGGGUAGCGAACAGGAUUAGAUACCCUGGUAGUCCACGCCGUAAACGGUGGGCGCUAGGUGUGGGUUUCCUUCCACGGGAUCCGUGCCGUAGCUAACGC
RNAcentral lists this ribosomal RNA (778 nucleotides) under Rhodococcus sp. (in: high G+C Gram-positive bacteria). RNAcentral describes it as "bacterial SSU rRNA". It matches the Rfam family "Bacterial small subunit ribosomal RNA", at positions 64 to 858 of the family's 1533-position model. The record is from RNAcentral. Lineage: Bacteria; Bacillati; Actinomycetota; Actinomycetes; Mycobacteriales; Nocardiaceae.